This 1827-nucleotide ribosomal RNA is filed under the name Anguinella palmata. Its description in RNAcentral is "SSU rRNA". It matches the Rfam family "Eukaryotic small subunit ribosomal RNA". The record is from RNAcentral. Lineage: Eukaryota; Metazoa; Bryozoa; Gymnolaemata; Ctenostomatida; Nolellidae.
AUCUGGUUGAUCCUGCCAGUAAUCAUAUGCUUGUCUCAAAGAUUAAGCCAUGCACGUCUAAGUACAAGCCGGCCCGCCGGCGAAACUGCGAACGGCUCAUUAAAUCGGUUACGACUCUACAGGAGUCAGACAAUCCCAAGUGGAUAACGUGCGGUAACUCCGGUGCUAAUACAUGCAACUAUGCUCCGACUCGCGAGGGGAAGAGCGCACUUAUUAGACGAAAGCCGUUCGGCCUCGCGCCGUUUGGUGGACGACACCCGAGUAAUUUGACCGCCGAUCGCACGGCCUCGAGCCGGCGACGCUUCUUCGAGUUUCUGAUCUAUCACGCUGACGACGGUUCGUGCUAUGCGAACCAGUGGCAUUGACGGAUAACAGAGAAUCUGGGUUCGAUUCUGGAGAGGCCGCCCGAGAAACGGCGACCACUUCUAAGGAAGGCAGCAGGCACGCAAAUUACCCACUUCCGACACGGAGAGGUAGUGACGAGAAAUAGCGAUACGGCGCUCGAAAGAGACGUCGUAAUCGCAAUGAGUACAGCUCAAAUCCUUGUUCGAGGAUCCACUGGAGGGCAAGCCUGGUGCCAGCAGCCGCGGUAAUUCCAGCUCCAGCAGCGUAUAUUGAUAUUGCUGCAGUUAAAAAGCUCGUAGUUGAAAUGUCAGACGCGGGAGAGCGGUCGAUCGUAUGGUCGUUCCGUUCCUACCGCGGCCAAGCGCAGCGGAUGCCGUCGCCUGCACUUAAUCGUGUGGGCGCGGCGCUGUUGCACCUUCACCUUGAGGAAAGUGAACCGCUCAAAGGAAGCUCUGCGCCCGAACAACAAAGCAUGGUAUGAUGGAACACGGGCGUCGCGCUCGUUUCGACGGUUUUAGAGAUUGCGAGCCAAUGAUUAAUAGUGACUGCCGGGGGCAUUCGUACUCGGACGGGAGAGGUGAAAUUCAAGGAUCGUCCGAAGACGCUCGACUGCGAAAGCAUUUGCCAAGAAUGUUUUCAUUAAUCAAGAACGAAAGUCAGAGGCGCGAAGGCGAUCAGAUACCGCCGUAGUUCUGACCGUAAACUAUGACGCCUGGCAAUGGGGUACUCGUACCUCAUUCGCCGCUCUCUGCGGCGACCCCGGGAAACCAAAGGCAUUGGUCUCCGGGGGGAGUAUGGUUGCAAAGCAGAAACUUAAAGGAAUUGACGGAAGGGCACCACCAGGAGUGGAGCCUGCGGCUUAAUUUGACUCAACACGGGAAACCUCACCCGGCCCGGACACUGUGACGACAGACAGGUUGAGAGCUCUUUCUCGAUUCAGUGGAUGGUGGUGCAUGGCCGUUCUUAGUUCGUGGAGCGAUCUGUCUGGUUAAUUCCGAUAACGAACGAGACUCUCGCCUGCUAAAUAGACGGCGCCGACACAGCACGGCGACCGACGGCUUCUUAGAGGGACUAGCGGCGUUCAGCCGCGCGAAGUCGAGAGCGAUAACAGGUCAGUGAUGCCCUUAGAUGUUCGGGGCCGCACGCGCGCUACACUGUCCGCAUCAACGAGACCAACCCGCGUCGAGAGACGUGGGCGACCCGAUGAACCGCGGACGUGCUAGGGAUCGGAGCUUGCAAUUGUUCUCCGUGAACGAGGAAUUCCUUGUACUCGCGAGUCAUCAGCUCGCGGGGAAUGCGUCCCUGCCCUUUGUACACACCGCCCGUCGCUACUACCGAUCGAACGGUUUGGUGAGGCUCGCGGACUGCUCGCGAUGCCCCUCGGGGAUUUUCGCGCGGCGGAAAGCGGAACGAACCUGACCGUUUAUAGGAAGUAAAAGUCGUAACAAGGUUUUCGUAGGUGAACCUGCGUAAGGAUCAUUG